This 73-nucleotide transfer RNA is filed under the name Ailuropoda melanoleuca (giant panda). It matches the Rfam family "tRNA". Rfam says of the family: Transfer RNA (tRNA) molecules are approximately 80 nucleotides in length. Their secondary structure includes four short double-helical elements and three loops (D, anti-codon, and T loops). Lineage: Eukaryota; Metazoa; Chordata; Mammalia; Carnivora; Ursidae. The record is from Rfam by way of RNAcentral.
GCCUGGUGGGCUCAGUUGGUAGAGUGUGUGACUCUUGAUCUCAUGGUUGUGAAUUCAAGCCCCACAUUGAGUG